This 246-nucleotide ribosomal RNA is filed under the name uncultured bacterium. RNAcentral describes it as "partial 16S ribosomal RNA". It matches the Rfam family "Bacterial small subunit ribosomal RNA", at positions 58 to 334 of the family's 1533-position model. The record is from RNAcentral.
CAAGUCGAGCGCCCCGCAAGGGGAGCGGCGGACGGGUUAGUAACGCGUGGGAAUGUACCCUUUUCUACGGAAUAGCCUCGGGGAACUGAGAUUAAUACCGUAUACGCCCUUCGGGGGAAAGAUUUAUCGGAGAAGGAUCAGCCCGCGUAAGAUUAGAUAGUUGGUGGGGUAAUGGCCUACCAAGUCUACGAUCUUUAGCUGGUUUGAGAGGAUGAUCAGCAACACUGGGACUGAGACACGGCCCAG